GCUGGAGUAGCUCAGUCGGCAGAGCACGUCCUUGGUAAGGACGGGGUCAAGGGUUCGAUUCCCUUCUCCAGCU
Molecule: non-coding RNA, 73 nt
Organism: Omnitrophica WOR_2 bacterium RBG_13_44_8b
Lineage: Bacteria; Pseudomonadati; Candidatus Omnitrophota
Source: Rfam